GACGAACUGUCCAAACGUUGUUCGGAAUCACUGGGCUUAAAGGGCGCGUAGGCGGUCGAAUAAGUCGGGGGUGAAAUCCUGCAGCUCAACUGUAGAAGUGCCUUCGAUACUGUUCGUCUGGAGGGAGAUAGGGGUGUGCGGAACUUCCAGUGGAGCGGUGAAAUGCGUUGAUAUUGGAAGGAACGCCGGAGGCGAAAGCGGCGCACUGGAUCUCUUCUGACGCUGAGGCGCGAAAGCUAGGGGAGCAAACGGG
RNAcentral lists this ribosomal RNA (253 nucleotides) under uncultured bacterium. Its description in RNAcentral is "partial 16S ribosomal RNA". It matches the Rfam family "Bacterial small subunit ribosomal RNA", at positions 524 to 776 of the family's 1533-position model. The record is from RNAcentral.